RNAcentral lists this ribosomal RNA (162 nucleotides) under Dicranostigma lactucoides. RNAcentral's name for it is "5.8S ribosomal RNA". It matches the Rfam family "5.8S ribosomal RNA". From Rfam's summary of the family: 5.8S ribosomal RNA (5.8S rRNA) is a component of the large subunit of the eukaryotic ribosome. It is transcribed by RNA polymerase I as part of the 45S precursor that also contains 18S and 28S rRNA. Functionally, it is thought that 5.8S rRNA may be involved in ribosome translocation. The record is from RNAcentral. Lineage: Eukaryota; Viridiplantae; Streptophyta; Magnoliopsida; Ranunculales; Papaveraceae.
AACGACUCUCGACAACGGAUAUCUCAGCUCUCGCAUCGAUGAAGAACGUAGCAAAAUGCGAUACUUGGUGUGAAUUGCAGAAUCCCGUGAACCAUCGAAUUUUUGAACGCAAGUUGCGCAUUAGUUCAUCCGGCCGAGAGCACGCCUGCCUAGGCGUCACGC